UAGGGAAUCUUCCGCAAUGGACGCAAGUCUGACGGAGCAACGCCGCGUGAGUGAAGAAGGAUUUCGGUUCGUAAAACUCUGUUGUUAGAGAAGAACAGCGCAUAGAGUAACUGUUAUGCGUGUGACGGUAUCUAACCAGAAAGCCACGGCUAACUACGUGCCAGCAGCCGCGGUAAUACGUAGGUGGCAAGCGUUGUCCGGAUUUAUUGGGCGUAAAGCGAGCGCAGGCGGUCAAUUAAGUCUGAUGUGAAAGCCCCCGGCUCAACCGGGGGGGGUCAUUGGAAACUGGUUGGCUUGAGUGCAGAAGAGGAGGGUGGAAUUCCAUGUGUAGCGGUGAAAUGCGUAGAUAUAUGGAGGAACACCAGUGGCGAAGGCGACUCUCUGGUCUGUAACUGACGCUGAGGCUCGAAAGCGUGGGUAGCAAACAGG
RNAcentral lists this ribosomal RNA (429 nucleotides) under Bacteroidota bacterium. Its description in RNAcentral is "Bacteroidetes bacterium partial 16S ribosomal RNA". It matches the Rfam family "Bacterial small subunit ribosomal RNA", at positions 355 to 776 of the family's 1533-position model. Lineage: Bacteria; Pseudomonadati; Bacteroidota. The record is from RNAcentral.